Molecule: long non-coding RNA, 3590 nt
Filed under: Homo sapiens (human)
Lineage: Eukaryota; Metazoa; Chordata; Mammalia; Primates; Hominidae
Description: HSALNT0375557
Source: RNAcentral
CCGAGAUUGCACCACUGCACUCCAACCUGGGUGAUAGAGCAAGAUUCUGUCUCAAAAACAAAAACAAAAUGUCCAUGCCAACACAUCCCAUUCUACAUGUUCUUUUUACAUUGUAACAUUGGCUCCCCUCUGUCUAAAAUAGGCUCUAUGUUCCCAUUCCUUGAGUAUGAGUUAGUCUUGAGAACUCACUUCUAAUGACUAGAAUGCAGUGAAAGUGACACUGCCUGACCUUCAAGACUAGAUCAUCAAAGGUGCUACAGCUUCUGCUUUGGCUUACCCUCUCUGUCGUGGGACACUCACCCUUGGACCCAAUCUCCACACUGUGAGAACUUCUAUGCUACCUGGAGAGGCCUUCUAUAGAUAUUUCAGUCAACAGGCCUAGUUAAAGUUUCAGCCAGCGUCAACCACCCAACAUGUGGGUGAGUGAACCCUCAAAUGAUUGCAGCUCCCAGCCUUUGAGUCUUCCAGUUGCGGUCCCAGUCAUUGAAACAGAGUCAAGCUGCCCCCGCUGUGAUUUAUCUGAAUUUCUGACCCACUGGGAGCAUAAUAAAUGAUUGUUUUAUGUUACCAAGUUUUGGAUUAAUUUGUUACACCGGUACAGCAACUGAAGCAUUGAUUGUACAAUUUCAUAUUCAGAAACUAUGGUAUAUGAGAUUUUCUUUUUCUAUAUUCUAUCUGUAGCAAAACACGACAUGGUUAUACUCCUACAUUUUUGCCAAUCUGAUGGCUAUGAAAUAGCACAGUGUUUUUUUAAAAAGAAAAAAAAUAGCCCACCAUUAUUCCAUUAUUGUUCUGUAGGAAAAAACAGCAACGACCACAGAUGUUAUCAGUGUCAUUACAUCCUCAGUUCCAAAAACAACAGCAACAGCAAAUCCUCAGUUUCUAGCACAAUGCCUGCCACUAGUAGGUUUUUAAGCAAUAUUUGCUGAAUGUAGGAAUUAGUAAGUGCCACUGUUUGCUCAACUCUAUUCUAAGUGGUUUACGUAACUUGAUUUCCUUAAUCUACACAUUAACUUUAAUGAGCAUACUUAUCUUCAUUUUGUAAAUAUUGAAUAGUCUUCAGGAGAUGAAGGCAUUUAAAUGAGGUCAUAUUUAUAAGUGGCACUUAUAAUUGGCAGAGCUUGAAUUCAGACACAAAGCCCUUUCCCUUUCUCUUUUACAUUAAGGCCCAAAGAAGCUUACAAAUUAUAUAACAACACUUUUUUAAAGAAUUAUAUUUUAUUCCACUUACUACUUUAUUUUUGUCUUUCAUCAAAUAUUUGCCCUUUAUGGGUCACUCAGAUUGCCACUACAUAAUUUAUAUCAGAGUUGUUCCCGAGCUAGUUGACAGCCCUCUCAAGAAACAAGCCAUAACAUACUUGGUUCUCUUUAAUCAGUAGGAUGUCUCAAGGCAGCCCAGUGUUUUUAAGACAGCUGUAGAUUCUCUGUAUAUCAUUUAAUCAUUAUUCAUUUAUUCAUUCAAAAAUUUACUAUGUGACCAGGCUGCAUUGAGAGCUACUGAUAUAAUGAUGGACAAAGAGUCAUGGUCUUUGUUUUCAUGGAAUUUGGGGUCUAGUAGGGGAAAUAGAUAUUAACCCAAUAAUCACUCAAUUUGAGUCAAUUCUAGAAAGAAAGUGUAUACAAAGUUAUGAGACCAUCAAGAAGGAAUAUGAGUAAGUUUAGAGGGUCUGGAAUGACUUCCCUGAAGAAAUGAUGCCACUUGACUCUGAGACAGGAGGGGGCAAGGAAGUGCUGGGUAGAGAAGGGUGGGUCCCUGGCUAGGGCUCCACCUCCGGGCCUGUGCCCACCCACCGAGGUGAGGACAGGCAUUUGUUUUUGUGCCCAAAUGUUGCAUUUUCCAAGACCACCCUGGCCCACCAUGUCCCCAUCCUGUGCCUAUAAAAACCUCGAGACCCUAGUGGGCACAGACAGAAGUGGCUGGACGUCGAGAGGAUCACACCACUGGAAGAACACACGAGCUGCUAGAUGUCGAGAGGAGCAUGCUGGCAGGAGAACACACCGACAAACACCAGCAGAUGCUGGCAUGCCAUCCACCGGUGGAACGACGUGGACGCCGAGGGGAAUUUGGUGCUGGGCAGCCUGACUCCAGGGGAAAACCAGCUUCCCACUCCUUCCCUCUUCUGGCUCCCCAUUCAUCUGCUGAGAGCUACCACCACUCAACAAAAAACCUUGCACCCAUCCUCCAAGCCCACACGUGAUCCAAUUUUUCCAGUACACUAAGACAAGAACCCCAGGAUACUGAAAGCCUUCUGUCCUUGAGAUAAGGCAGAGGAUCUAAUUGAGCUCAUUAACACAAGCCACCUGUGGAUGGCUAAACUGAAAGAAUGCACUGCAACACAUGCACACUGGGGCCUCAAGAGCUGUAAACACUGAACCCUAGACACUGCUGUGGGGUCAGAGCCCCACAACCUGCCCGUCUGCAUGCUCCUCCUAGGGUAUGAGCAGCAGGGUACCAAAGAAGUGAGCCCUGGGAGGGGGAUAAGGGAACUUUUCCCAUUUCAAUUUGAUAUGUGAAGAAUCAAUACCAUUUCAAGGCAGUUAUUAUUAUCAGUUCAUAGGUGAAGAAACUGAGGUUCAGAAUCUUCCCCAAAUAACAAAAUUAGUAAAGGGUCUACCUGUGAUUUGAAAUCAGAUCUAGUUGAAUUAAAAACUCAGACUUUUCCUUCAUUUAUAACAAAAAGUGCCAACGAAGAAAAAUCUCUCACACAAAUCUUGGAAGGGAAACAUUCAGCAACAUAACUGCCUAUGGUCCCACUUACAGUUUUCACCACAAAUGCGGAAAUGUUCUUUUUUCUUCUUCUUCUCGUGGUCAUGUUUUAUAGCACUUAACAACAGUUGCAGUUGAUAAGUUAAGCCAAGGUCUCAGGACAGGGUCUUGCUCAAGGUGUCGGAAUCCCACUAAUGCUGUGUUCCAGCUACGAUUUUAAUCAAAGGUGCGCUCCCUGAGAAAGUCCCGGAGGGUUCACUACCAAGGACAAAGUGAGGAGGGGGAGGGUUUGGGUGGUUUCUUUAAAUUAUUGUUAUUAACUAGAGUCCUUACUUUAUUCAGAUUUCCUUAGUUUUUACCUAAUGUCUUUUUUCUGCUCCAGAAUUCUAUUCAGGACACCACAUUACAUUUAAUUGUGAUGUUUCCUUAGGCUUCUUUGGCUAUGACAGUUUCUCAAACUAAACUUUUUUUGAUGACCGUGACAACUUUGUGGAGAAUUGAUGAGCAAGAAGGCCCGUGCUAGAUGCUGGCACUUUGAUGUUGGACUUCCCAGCAUCCAGAACUCUGCAAGGUCACAAGACAGAUAAGCAUAAGCUGCAAACCAAGUUCUCACAGAGAUGUAAGACAUGUUCCAAAAGUGUCACAGCGGCCUUUUGUUCUCACUUCUGUAAGCCUGCUUCACUUAGUUCCUGCCUCAAAAUGCUUAAAAGGGACUCAUUUUCUUUGUUCUUGGGCUCAGCCUUUUAGGACACAAGUCCGCUGGGCCAGUGUACACCUUAAAAUAAACACCCUCCUGCACGCCAUCUGGUCUCUCUGGUUCCUUAAAUCCCACUUCAUGACAAGUUCAGUUUCUCAGAAAGAAACAUUUAAUAGGGACUUACAA